AGAGAGAGACAUGCGCGCAUAUCAAUAAGCGGAGGAAAAGAAACUAACAAGGAUUCCCUUAGUAACGGCGAGUGAAGCGGGAAGAGCUCAAAUUUGAAAUCUUCAAGGUUCUACCUUGACGAAUUGUAGUUUAUAGAAGUGUUUUCUGUUAGUGGAGUGGUAAAAGUUCUUUGGAAUAGGACAUCAUAGAGGGUGAGAAUCCCGUAUUUGGUCAUUCCUCCUAGCGUUGUGAUACACUUUCAACGAGUCGGAUUGUUUGGGAAUGCAGUCCAAAAUGGGUGGUAAAUUUCAUCUAAAGCUAAAUAUUGGCGAGAGACCGAUAGCGAACAAGUACCGUGAGGGAAAGAUGAAAGGAACUUUGAAAAGAGAGUUAAACAGUACGUGAAAUUGUCAAAAGGGAAGCGUUUGACACCAGUGUUGUUUUUCCGAAAAUCAAUUACGAAUGUUUUGUUUUUGAGGAGUUAUGACUUCAUCGGCUUGCUCCUUUCUUUACGAAACUUUCUUAAUGCACUUUUCGGUUAACAAGUCAACAUCAAUUUCUUUUGUUGUAAAAGGGUAUGAGGAAGGUGGCUUUCUUUUCGGAGAAAGUGUUUAUAGCCUUGUGCCUCUGCAAUCGGAGAGAUUGAGGUCUGCAGCGUAGAUCCUUCGGGGUUAGAUACAUUUGUGCUAAGUUAUAGCUUUUCAUAGACAACUUGUUGACUAUGUUUAGUCUUGUAGCUUACUCGCUUACGCUAUUUUACCUACGCUUAGGAUGUUGAUAGUCACAGCGUGUAC
Molecule: ribosomal RNA, 774 nt
Filed under: uncultured Neocallimastigales
Lineage: Eukaryota; Fungi; Neocallimastigomycota; Neocallimastigomycetes; Neocallimastigales
Description: partial large subunit ribosomal RNA
Rfam family: Eukaryotic large subunit ribosomal RNA
Source: RNAcentral